CUCCUUGGAAUUCUUAUUUUUUGUGGGAAAAGAAAUAGAUACGUUUCUUCAACAUUUAAGUUUCUAAAUGAAAGCGUUGAAAAUAAGACGAUAGAUGGGGAAAGCCGGCCACUAUUAUGAUAUUGGUGUCGCAACAAGAUCUUUAAAAACUUCCCAUUUAUCAACCCGGCAUGAAACAGAGGCAUAAGCCCACCUUUUCAAAUGAACAAGCAAUUGCGCCCGUUGCUGAUCACUGCUGGAUUAAGCGUUUUGGAUAAGUAGCAGUUGUUGCGGUAUGUGUACGUGGACCGCCACUAAAAGCCGUUCUAUAAAUUUAUUGAUAUCAGAUGAAACAUUUAAGAAAGAUUUAUGAAAGAUAAACAUAGGCAACCAGGAGUUUCCUUCAUCAAUUUAUAUUGUGACAUGAACUUAAAACUAUUCCACAACCAGACGUUUCUCGUUGCAUAAUCCAACUUCUUAUAAUAUCAUAACCGAAAAUGUAUAUUUUGUAAGAAAUUAAGCAGAAGAAAAACUGGUGCUGAUUCCGGAUCAAGAUUAAAAAUCGUAACCUUUUAUAAUGUGGAAUAAACAGCGUCUUCGUCACGCGAAGUAUGAAAAAUUAAGAUGAUUGUUGAAAAUAUUGGGAUGAAAAGUAAAUGUCGGCAAAUCCAGCUUCAUUCACGACUUUGUUUGGUCGUAUUGAAACAACAUUUCGUGAUACGACUUUGUUGGGCAUGUGUAAGUGGACUUCUUAAGCAGACAUGUUUCUAGACGAACGGACACUUGAACCAGCUACUCCUCGUUAAUGUGCUGAGCGCCAUCGAAAAAUAGUGAUGGGAGCUUUUGUGGUCAGCGAUCUUCGAAAACGUUCGGCGGUCCGCAGCUGCACUUAUUGGCACAUCGUGUUGCAAAUGGCAACACUACAAUUGAAAUUGACGAUUUUUUGUUCAAAGUUAAUCGAAAUAUGGCUGUGUAACUUCUCCUUCCAACUUUCAGUUUUUUGGGGACAUUCCAAAAGUGUUUUUGCCGAUGCGUUCUUAUUACAAAUUGUUACGCGAAUAUUGCCAGUAAAGUAGAAUUGUUAAAUAAAAAUUAUUUCAAGUAAAUAUAUCAAUAAGUUACUCACUUUUCCAUUGUCAUUUUUUUUUCUUCGUUACCCAUCUCAUCCUUCUAGAUUUGGAUUUCUUCCUUCUAGAAGACCUAUUCGGCUUGGUACGACGCUUUUUAUUCCUUUCCAUUUUUAUUAUUUCAUCUGGAAAGGAGUAAGCAUUUAUUAAUAGAAAUUGUAAUAAAUAAGUGAGUAAAGCAUAUCUAAUGAUUACUAAACGAUAACACCGAAUCCAAAAUCUCACUAUUUAACUUAUAAUUGAAGGUGAUGAAAGACCCUCUAUUGAAAGACAUUUGGCUUUUUAAUAUUCAACCUUCAAAAUUGUGUGAGGAGUAGAAUACAUACAUUAAUAUAUUCGCUUGUUGAAUUAUGUCAGGCAAACCAUUUAAAAAUAAACAAAAGAAAAGCGGGACAAGGUGGAUCCUCUGCGGAUAUCACCGGUGUACACGCAGAAAUAUUUAAUAAAACCAUUUAAAUAAAAUUCUGUAUAUCUGAUCCAUAGGAUAUAAAAUGAACCAUUUUAUAUGGCCAGGCGUAUAACCAAUCUUUAUUGACUUAAAAAAUAUUAAUAAAAAAAAAAAAUUAAAAAAAUUAUUUAUGUUUAAAAAAAAUGUCCGAUGAUUUAUUUUUUAUGACCGAGUUGCAGGAAUUGUCAGUUUGCCCGAGAUUCUAUGUUUCUUUCGACACAAAUCGGAAGAUUUCUGCGUGUAAUCUUUCCACCUUUCCAUUUGCCUUGCGCCCUUGUGCGGGCGUAAAAUAAAUCCUAAUUCCAAGCGAUCUUAAAAAAUUUAAAAUGGUUGGCGUUAAAAAUGUCCGCUCAGUGUUCGACAUAAUCAUGCCGGUAAGCUUACUUCUUCUGCGAAUUGCACAUCGAUUCCUUAUUUCAACUAUCUUCGCGAAUUUAGAAAAUUUGUCAAUCCAACUUAUAAAUUUCAAGCCCUGAAUCUCGCAAAUGUGUGUAGGAUUUCUCUAGGCGUAGGAUUUCACAGGAAUAUGCGUAGUUGCUUGUCAGUGAUGUAUAUUAGUGUUAUCGGAAUGAAUACUUGUUCUACUUUUUUUUUAACUUAAGAAUAAAAUUGUUGCGUAUGAUCUGUUGGUUUGGCUGCUGCUGAACACGUGAAGAGACGAUCGCCGUUUGUGCACUGCUUUUAUAGCUGUUGGCUGCCACGCCAUCACGUUGAUACCGAGAGCUUUCACCGCGAGGUUUGUUGACUUACUAUACCAUUUGCAUGCUAAAGCUUAGGGAGUAGCUUCAGGAAGGCUGCAAAAUGAGAUUAUGCAGGGUUGCGCUACAGUGUCAAUCAAAGAAACAUAUCGAGUAAACAAAACUAUUAACAGAGUACAGAAGUUCAAAUGUAGGAUUUAGCUCAAAUUUACAGUUUAAUAAAACAAUGUAAAGUUAUAUGCAGAUAAUGAUAUUAGAAUGUAAACAGCAAUGUCUUCUGUGUUUGCAGUGGCUCUUUCCUUACAUCCCUCCCUCACGUCGGAAAUGAAUAAACAUCUGCUGCACUCCAGAUCUGGCUCUCACGGUCUGAUACCGAAUAACAUUUCGUGGGGCAAAAGCUCAUCUACGUUUGCCUGUGCUUGGAAAUUUGGUUGCCAUCCGGGAUCAUUAUAUCUUGGUGGAAAAAGUUUUGCGCUAUCGGUAGGCAACUAUUCUUCGGCAGUUUUGCCUGGUUUAUCCAAAUUCAACGGGUUCACGGAGCAAAGGCAUACACUAUUUUCAUUUGGGGCUUGGCAUGAAGUACCUGUUGUUGACGGCCGCUGCUUUGUGUGGUUCAUAGAGGGCCGACAAUGGCAAUUGAUCGAACGUAACGAAAUCAUCGUUAGUUGUUUUGUGUGGCUCAAUCGAGCUCGGCGGUAUUAAGUGGACGUAUGUGAUAAUAUCGUCGGUGAUUAUUUUGUGAGGCUCAAUAGAACUCGGCGGUAUUAAUUUGCAAAUGUGAUAAUGUGAUGCGUGGAUGUUUUGUGAGCUCAAUAGAGCAUCGUAAGUAAUAAUGUCCUUCACCAAAAGUUGUGUCUAAGACCUUUUCCUUUGUGCGGGCUCAGACUCCAUUGCUGAUAUGUUCAUGGAGUGACAUUUAACUAUCCUCGCUGUUUGUUAGCGCAUCCAGUGGCCGGUGGCCGGUGUCCGCGAUAGACAAGUCUCCAGGGCGAGAUUUCAGUUUUGCAAUAUCACCUCGACAACUAUUUGCUUUGGCUAGAGUGGAAAUAUCCGAGCGAUCUUAGCAUUCUGAGAAGUACACCAUUUCUUUGGCAGAAGGAGAGAGAGGUUAUGCUAUCAUAUGAAGAUUACUACUGCGUAUGGAUCGAAUAUAAAAUAUACUUAUAGAUGUAGAUAAAAUAUGUAUGUUUUUUUUCAAAUCACUGGCAGCAAUCUUUUGAAUCUCUUGCUCUCUAAACGUUAUCGUACAACACAUUAUUAUUAAAUGUACGUCUAUAAUAGUAGGUAUGUAAUUGCUAAUCUCUUUACAUGGCUAGCAGAUGUAUUUAUAGAAAAUCAAUUGCAUAAGGCAGUUUAUUAUACUAUUAUGCAAUACGCUUCAUUUUGGAUGAGCGUGGAAAUUAAUUCUAUUUUUCCUUUACAGUUUCUUAUGUUGUAUAUUUUCAGCAUAUUGUCUUUUCGUCAAAUGAAAUUUUUACAAAUGAAAUUACAGUCUUAUUUUAUUGCAAUCUUUGAAUGUAUGACUUAACUUUUUAGCUAUUUUAAACCGUCCGCACACGUUUUAUUUUUUUGGUUUGCAAAAUCACUUUUUCCUUCUUCUCUCUCCACAAAAAAAUCUUCCCAAUGUCGAUUACGUUUUUAAUGGGUGAGACUAACAAUCCCCCUGUGGCUGCAAGCUUGACAUCCGGUGUGGUCAACUGUUAGCGUUGUGCGGGGCAUAUAUUUGUCUUCUAGUGUCUCGAGACGUUCAAUUGUCUCUUUGUUGUGUAAAGCCUGCUACUAUUUCAAACACCUUUCACAUCUUCUCUAUCGUUUUUAAGUUCUUCAGGCCGAGUUCUCCACAAACAGCAGUGAGCUCUUACUUCUUGAGAUUGUAGAUCCAAGAGGUACGCGCCAUGUUUUUUUUGUUUGUUUUUUUUUUCUCUUCACGUAUUAUCUGAAGUUCCUUGAUCGGGCGCCAUCUGUAACAGAUAUCUCUGGCUGCCAACUGCAUCAUGGCUACCCAGCUGUGCGCUUCAAGAAAUUUUCUUAUUAAAACAAAAAGAACUCUUUUGUUAUCGUUAUAGUAUGUAGUUUUGUGUAUUAGAUUGGAUGUAGCAAGACUAUCGCUAGGCCUAUUGUUAUUACCGCAGGCUCACUGAGCAGUUUACAAAACACAAUUUACGUAGUUAUGUAGUAGCGAAGAUAAAUUUAAUUAGGAGAAAAAGGGAAGUUCUAGUGUAUAACGUCAACUGCGCGUAGCCGAAGUUGAUUUUUCAUGAAUAAAUUGUCGCGUAUGAUCUGCAAGAAAUAUUUUACUGGCUCAGCAGGCGAGGUUGAUCAUUAAAGGGGUAGAGUUCCUAGCAUGUUCUUUCGGACCGGUAGUCUAUAAGGUAAUUCAAACGUACGCUGCUACUUGCGAAAACCAUUCUGGACGGACACAGCAACGGACCACUGAUCACUGAUGCGCCGUCUGUUACCGUGAGAACCCCGUUUCCGACGGACAAUACCCAACUGCUAAUCAGUAGUUAGCUUUGGGCCUAUGAUAUCCUCUCCAGCAGAGAAUCGAUAAGGCAAUGAUGCAAGUGCACGUUCUUACCUUAAGUAGCUCGUUCCGGACGGACAGGGCAACGAACUACUACAUAAAUGUAUAUGUUAAAAGUUCUUAAUUUACCUGUAGGUUUGGCUGCUGUUGAACAUAUGAAAGCUGAUGGCGGUUGGCUUCCACACCAGCACGUUGGUGGUGGGAGCUUUCACCAGGGCGCUUACUUAAUGACUAAAGAGUAAUAUCCCUCUGCAUACUAAUGCUUAAAGAGUAACUUCUUAAUAUGGUGGAAAUGAAAGUUUACCUUAUAGCUUGGACUAUAGUUUACGAGCUAUCCUAAAGUGUAAAACUCGUGGGAGUAAAGACGAC
This is a long non-coding RNA of Glossina fuscipes, 5145 nucleotides long. RefSeq lists it as uncharacterized. NCBI's taxonomy places the organism in Eukaryota, Metazoa, Arthropoda, Insecta, Diptera, Glossinidae. The transcript has 3 exons. The record is from RefSeq and is a predicted model, not a curated record.